RNAcentral lists this ribosomal RNA (789 nucleotides) under Dipsastraea favus. Its description in RNAcentral is "partial large subunit ribosomal RNA". The record is from RNAcentral. Lineage: Eukaryota; Metazoa; Cnidaria; Anthozoa; Scleractinia; Merulinidae.
CCCGCUGAAUUUAAGCAUAUUAMUAAGCGGAGGAAAAGAAACUAACAAGGAUUCCCUCAGUAACGGCGAGUGAAGMGGGAAAGCYCARRWUURAAAUCUCCGUGCUUGCAUCGGVGAGUUGUAGUUGCGAGAAGCACUUUCUAGGWGGRKYGGCGGUGGCCAAGUUGCUUGGAACAGCACGUCGCAGAGGGUGAGAACCCCGUCCGAGGCGCCGCCGGCCGCUGRCGAUGUGCUUUCRAACGAGUCGGGUWGYUUGGGAAUGCAGCCCAAAAUGGGUGGUAAACUCCAUCUAAAGCUAAAUACUGGCGUGAGACCGAUAGCGAACAAGUACCGUGAGGGAAAGAUGAAAAGAACUUUGAAAAGAGAGUUAAAAAGUACGUGAAACCGUCGGAAGGGAAACGAAUGGACUCAGCAAUGCGCCCUCUGAGAUUCAGCCGCGUGGGUGGCGUCGGCGCGGGGUUUGCGGAUCUGAAUGGACCGCGGCCCGGCGCUCGCUGCUCCCCGCCGUCGCACUUCUCUGGGGCGCGCGUCAACGUGGGUUGGGACUGGGUCUGAAAGGUGCCGGGAAGGUAGGUGUGGGCCUUCGGGUCCGUUCUGUUACAGCCCGGUUCUCUCAUGGCUCGGGCCCGACCGAGGAGCAGACAGGGCAUGCCUCCUGUGGCURGGGUCCCGUCCUUCCGGCCGGCUGUCCAGUGUGGUGGACUGCUURCAGUGCUCUGCGACGGCUGCCGGUCGUUGGGGUGGUGAUCUCGUACCAUGCCCUUGGGAUGUUGGCGGUCAUAUGGGUGC